RNAcentral lists this long non-coding RNA (1271 nucleotides) under Mytilus galloprovincialis (Mediterranean mussel). Lineage: Eukaryota; Metazoa; Mollusca; Bivalvia; Mytilida; Mytilidae. The record is from RNAcentral.
UUUUACAAACACUUAUUUUGAUCGCUGCGAAGCUUGAUUUCUAGAAGUAUUUAAUUUAAACGUCAGUUAACUCCCUUAUGUGUUAUAUACCACUUUAACUCAAUCAAUAUUUGAAAUGACAUUUAGAGCGCAAAAUCAGUGCAAUAUACAAGAUAGCGAAGGAACAAAAUGUACGUCGCUGAAAACGGAGGACCGAGAGGAAUGAACCUCUCGUUAGUUCUAUAAGGGAAAAGUCGAUGGAAAAAUUCGUCAAAAGAAACGAAGUUUUGGUUGCUUGAAACUGAGUCGAUUUCGAUUUCGAGACGUAAAUUGACGCCCGAGUCAUUGGUCUUAUGACCUGAUUUUGUGAUGCGUAGUCUCCAACUUCAUGAUACAAGCAAAUUUAAAACUGACAACAAAAUCUCAAAAGUACUAUUGAGUCGUUUUAAAUGUUGUUUCCCAUUUGCGAUAACACUUGCACAUAUUUUAAGCAUAAGUCUUGUAGGUAACAGUAGUUUAUCGCUAUUCUAAUCUCGUAUACUUACGAAGAAAAUACUUAUCAAGAUAAAAAAAAACAUGGGAAUCGCAUGCUCACUAAUUACCAUAGCGAGGCAAAUAAGGCUUCUCCUGUAGUUCAUACAUCAACAACCAUGCGAAUCAACAGCCAGUCAUAACUUUGUUAUAUCCCGAGGGUAAAGGACACAAUCGGUAAAUGUAGCUCUCGGACGAAUUGUCUGAUAGACAAAGAUCUAAAAAGUAAAAUAACAAAAUAUACCAAAUCCAAGGAAAUUUAAAACGGAAGGUUCUUUAUCAAUUGACAAAAUUUAAAGCUGAAACACAUUGAACGAAUGGAAAACAACUGUCAUAUUCCUGUUUUCGAAACAGACAUUUCCUUAUUUAGAAAAUGAUGAAUACACUUAGAACAUGUCUCUUGUGAAAUGAGACACAUACAUACUUAUUCGUGGUGGUGACUACAAAAACGUAAGUGACGAUCGAAUAGUUCUUUUUACAACUCUUCUAUAUAUCUUGAAAGUCGAAUUUCUUUGAAUAUGAUAUUUCUUUGGCACAUCAUAAAUGAAACACGAACAUUUAUAAGGAACAUCCUCCAUGUGCGUACAUAAAGGGGAGGGGAGAUCAUUUUGUCGCCUACGGACUCUACUAAAUAAUACAUAAAGCUAUAGAAUACAUCAAUGUUUUUUCUUACAAAAAAGAAGAUGUGGUAUGAUUGCCAAUAAGACAGCUCUUCGCAACAGACUAAAUGACACAGAAAUUAACAAUUAUAGGUGACCGUA